CUCUCCCAGCCAGGCGGGGGGGAGCGCCAAGUGCAAGCAACCCUGCUUCGGCCAGAGGGAUGGUAUAUAGCCUAGCCUAGCCACGGCCGUGCUAACGGCCAUGAAGGUGAGUGGCUUUGUGGGCAGCCUGCCACUCAGGAGGCAUCCUGUCCCCAGAUGGUCCCUUGCGCCGGUCCCCCCUGGCCCCAUCUUUUGCCGAGAUUCAUGUUGCGCUUCCUCGGAACUGAAUGGGAACGCGCGUGGCGCUCCCGUUGCUCAAGACAGGGGAAGGAAGGCCCCAAGGCCAUACCAAGGUCAAGGACUGGAGUCUCCAUG
Molecule: long non-coding RNA, 315 nt
Organism: Clupea harengus (Atlantic herring)
Lineage: Eukaryota; Metazoa; Chordata; Actinopteri; Clupeiformes; Clupeidae
Source: Ensembl